GGGGAAUUCGUCUAGUGGUAAGACGCGGACUUCGCAUUGCUGAGUGUCUGAAACCGGUGUUCGAUUCACCGAUUCUCCA
Trichosporon asahii var. asahii CBS 8904 is the source of this 79-nucleotide transfer RNA. It matches the Rfam family "tRNA". From Rfam's summary of the family: Transfer RNA (tRNA) molecules are approximately 80 nucleotides in length. Their secondary structure includes four short double-helical elements and three loops (D, anti-codon, and T loops). Lineage: Eukaryota; Fungi; Basidiomycota; Tremellomycetes; Trichosporonales; Trichosporonaceae. The record is from Rfam.